GUGCCGCUUCAAUUUUUCCUUAAUCUUUCUUUAUUAUUUAUUUUUUUAUAACAAAACCUUUUGUUUUUAAAAAAAACCUUAAGUUCUUAACCUUCUCUGCUAGGGUUUCGCCCAAACCUCAUGCUGCCGCUGAACCAUCUCCACUUCUGGUGGCUUACAGCGCGCAUGCAGGCCUGGUGUUGUCAGAGGCGUGGAGGAGGUCGGUGGCAACGUUGCAGCGGAGAAGGUGCUGACACCACGUGGGGAGCGGCGCACUAGGGCUUCUGCUGCUGAAAUUUGUUUAGACUUUGGGCCUAUCGGGCUAUUAGGUUUUUUGUUUGUUUGGGUCGUGUUGGGCUUGGUUUGGGUAAUUUGGAUUUUGGACUAUUUGGGCUGUAAAUUUAAAUUGGACAUUUUAUUAUUAUUGUUGUUAUUUUUUUGUCUGAUUUGGGCUUAUUGGGCCCGGUCAAA
This is a long non-coding RNA of Gossypium arboreum, 450 nucleotides long. RefSeq lists it as uncharacterized. The transcript is spliced from 2 exons. NCBI's taxonomy places the organism in Eukaryota, Viridiplantae, Streptophyta, Magnoliopsida, Malvales, Malvaceae. The record is from RefSeq and is a predicted model, not a curated record.